Molecule: long non-coding RNA, 7826 nt
Organism: Pseudopipra pipra
Lineage: Eukaryota; Metazoa; Chordata; Aves; Passeriformes; Pipridae
Exons: 7
Source: RefSeq, a predicted model, not a curated record
GGGGGGGCCGCUGGCGGCCCCCACCCACGAGGCUGCCCCGCGCCAGCUUCUGCAGCUCGACGGGCACCACGGCGCUGGGGCAGUGCUUCUCGAUGUAGUCCUGGAAUCCCUGCACUCCCAUGCGAGCGCCUGCCUCGGCUGCCAGCAUGCUCCUACAAACCUCCCAGCCUGCACAGAGCAGCAGAGCUGAACUCGUGCCAGGAAAGUGCUUGUCUCGUAAGAGAGCUCUGCAUGAUUCAGUUAUGGAAGAGAAAACAGUGCAAAAAACCUGUGUCAGAGCAAGAAUGGCAGAACUAGCCCACUUCAACAUCUCACACAGAUGAAAAAUAGCUCAGAAUUAAAUACAGGUAAAUUGUUAUACCUCGUCUUCUAUCAUAAAGAUUGCUUAAAAUCUUAAUUUUCAUCCCACUGUCAUGUUCUAUUCACCUAUAAUUUAUUACUGAACAGUUAAGCCCUAAUGGUUUACAUCUCUCCUAGAGCCCAGUGCAGGCAAUCCCGUGCUCAAACUCUAGUAAAACUGCAGAUUGUUAAACUGAGUGCCUCCCUCCAUCCACAGGUUGGAAGCUUGUCUAAACUGGCCUCUGCUGCAUAUUCCAACAAUUACAAACAUACCUGAAACCAGACAUGGUUUGACUCUGGAGUAACCUUGUUUUCAUCUGGUAAGGGAAGUGGUUCCCAGAUCAGGAUGAUACAUGAAAAAAAGCAUGCAGAUAAGGCAUCGUUUGCCCAAACAUGUCAUCAGAAACUGACUUCCUAAAGGUAUGUCUCAGACUGGAGAAUGCAAACACAGAUGUGUGAUAUUUUUCCAUUUCAGAACAAUCAUUAUAAUAUCCCUGUGAUGCAAAUUACCCUCAUGGCUUCUUAAUCCCAGUACUGACAGAGGGAGAGUAAUCUGAAUUCCCAGAAGCACUAUGUUGGAGAACUCUCCAUUUAGUUCGGCAAUUCUGGAAAACACAUUGCCCCAGCUAACAGUAUUGGGGAAAAGGAGAUUAUUUCUGGUGUGGUACCAUGAGGCAACAGGCCCUGUUCUCAGGGAAGAAUCUCUAAUCUGAAAUGUAUCAGACCAGUUCUUUCUCUUGUAAUAUCCUAAAGGAAAACAGAAUUAUUCAGCUUUUUGUCACAAUGUGUAGAAAAGUGUGAAGUCAAAAACAAGUCUAAGCUCCUCCUCAGUGGAGUGACAAUGGCUGUCUCUUUAAACUAAAAACACACUGUCCCCAGUGCCCUCUGUAAAACAGUGGGACAUCACAGAAAGUUUUUUUAGUGUUUGAGGCUCAGUUUCCCCAGGAAUCAGUAAUUACCACAAAGAGAACUGCAGAGAUGUGGGACAUCUUUACUGCUUGCAGUACCACCACCACACUGCUGACUGCCAGGCAGAUGGCAUAUAAAUGGACUGAAAAAUCCACUGAAAUGCUUUGAUGUUGUAUAGAUGCAGAAUUUGAAGGGAUUAUGAGUGUUUGUUUUUAAAAGAAAAUUAAUAAAAGACAGUUAUAAGGCUAUGGAAAAUACUGAUGGUAUAAAAGAAGAAGAGGAAAUUCUCAUUGUUUUUCUCACUGUGUAAGGAACAUGGGCAUUCACAGAGGGAGAUACAGUGUGCAAAAAAACCUAAACAAGCCCAAAGAAACCAUUCCCUGUUGGAUUUCACUAUGUGUCCUUACUGCCAAGCCUGUUCCUACCCACCUCAGGUGAGUAGGGAUCAUGGCCCAGCCUGCCCAAACCAGCCCUGCUCGCUCCUGUCUCUCAUCAGAGACACCACAAGUAGCACCUACAUGGUGCUGCAGCACUGAAAAUUUGUGACUGGAAGCAAAUGGUUUGGCAGGAGAGAAAAAAAUAGGUGCAGAGAGGUCCCUGUCCUCAGAAAGCCUACUGAACCAAGCCUUUUCCCUUGGAAGAAGUCGUAUUGGCAUGGUAAAUUUAAAUGUAACAGUGACAGUGGCAGAAUAUUUCCGAGAAAGCCCCUUAUUAAUAUUUUGGCAGCAUGAGAUUGUUUUUUUCCCAAUUGCACAUGUUGCUCCAUCUGCCACAAAGCCAUUGGUUCCAACAGCCUGGCCUUCCCUGGGAAAGGGGCAUCACAACACGUGAUGAUUGUUGUUGGGCUGUGAGGAGAGGAAGGUGACAGGAGUGUGUGUGUGUGUGUCUCACACUGCAGUGCUGUGCCCUCUUGGCGAGGAGUUUGCUGUGAGAAAACAAGCCAGCUGAGGAGGUGUUUCCUUCCUGUUUACUAGUGUGUGAACUAUUAAUUUAGUUGUGUUUGGUACCUUAACUGGUGGCCUGUUCUUAAAGGGUUUGAGCAGAGGGUAGUGGGCUACAUAGCUUGCAAUAGCAGCAAAGGCAAAACAUUUGUUUAAAUUUAGUAGAAUUCUGUAAAUAGGCUUUUAAGAAUCACAUUAAACAAGAAAUGGUUCUAUUUUUCAACAUCCAGUGCCUCAUUUUGGAGUAUACAAAAGUUCUUUCGUAAUUAAAAAAAAAUUGAACAUUUUUGUCUUUUGUUCUUCAUUGACAUCACACCAACUUCUCACCAUUCACAGGGACAGGAGGGAGAGUCCUCCAUGCCAGGACAGCCAGGGCACAUCAAUCAUCCACAUGCCAUCCCUGCUUCAGCUCAGGACUCUAUCUUCUGAACCUCAGGUCACCUCCCAGCCACGGUGGUACUGGCUUACCUGGGGCAUUUUUGGAGCUUAACAUCAUAACAGAUUUCCUAAUUGUGCCAUGUUACUUUGUAUGGUAGCUGCCUCUGCUGUACCAGGACAAAAUAUACACUUAAGCCUUUGGGCAUGAGAGAUUUGUUUUAUGCCAGCACAUCCCCAUUUCUCUGCCCUAAAACCCCAUUGGUACCAAAUGUGAAGUCACAUCACGUAGGCACUGGGAAAAAAAUACAGGCAAAUGAUGAAAAGUGCAAAGAAACAUGCUGUGCCUCUGAGUUGGUCACAUUUUAUGUGAUUCAGUGUAAACUGUAAGUAAAACUAAGUUAAAGAUUCUAUUAUGUUUGAGAUCUAUAUCUAGCAGGAAGGGGAAUACUGUACACAGCACUUGGUGUAGGAAUUGCUGUGCCACUGCUCCAAAGCAGGGCAUCAGCCUUUAAACUCACACACUGCACUAUUGCCUGCUCUGAGAAGCAUGCACAGGCCUUCCUAGAGUGUGGAUAUUCCUAGAGCAGCAGCCAUUUACACAGGCCUUCCUAGAGCAUGGUCACACCACCACACUGGUCAAGUAACUCAGCAGAAACAUGGAUUUAUUUGCUGUUGCCAGAGAGUAAAAUUUCACUUCAGCAUACAAGAAAACUAUCUAAGAGCUCCCUGUUCUGCUCCAGGUGGAAGAAAAAGAAGGGAGCUUUUCUAAGUGUAAAUUAUUGUUGUUCAGCUUCAUAAUAAUUUUCUUGUCUUGAGGGACUUGGUUUAUGAGUACGGUGUUAAGAACUCUGAAAGGCCAGCAGUGUGACAUGACAGGGCACGAGCUGUGCUGUAUUCAUUUCCAGUUACUGUGCUGGCAUCAUACAACUACAUCACCGAAAUGAGAUGCAAAUUAACACGAUAUAAUUAUCUCAUUUGAAUGUCUCACAGUGAUUUUACUCUGUGCUACGGCCAGUGCUCUCACGGCUCGUCUGGGUUCUGCAGAUGUUGGGAAGGCAGCUCCUGGGGCUGGGCUGGAUCCAGCAUCCAGGCUGGGGAACAAGCCUCAAACUGCUUGUUUGAAAGUUGGGUUCAGGGAACUUUGAUGCUUAACAUCAACAACUUGUUUCUCUCACAAACUACGUUAUCCGAGGAGUUGUUUGUGAACACUGGGAGUUAAAAUUUCACUUUGGCUCAGAUGGUGCUGGUUAAGGACGUGAACACGGUGCACAAAGUCUUUUCUGCACUGACAGGUUUAAAAAUCAUUUCAGAAGAAGUUAGAGAGCAAAAUAAAACUUCCUUUUGCAAAAUUCAUAUUUUAAAAAAUGUUAGUUGGGUUUUGACUGGCAGUUCUCAGUAUUUCUAUGUGGAUUUCUUUUUUUUUAUUUUUAUUUUUAACUGUUUUUCAAGGUUUUCCUGUUUUCAUAGUGGACAGCAAGAGACAAUGGAAGAGAUGCCCAUCCGUGUCCCAGUUAUGGUCACAAGCAUCAUAAUCCAUGAAUUUCAUGACUUUUCCAUUUCCAUUUUCCUACAACCAUCACAGAGUUCUGGGCUGGCAGCUGCAGCAGCCAUUUACAGUAGCUGAAAUACCAGCAGAGCGUUUCCCCUGCACACCACCCAGAGAAACAGACACAUCAUGCAAGUUCAUAUAUACAGGGAAUGGAAUUGGGACUAAUGUUUGAAGACUUCUCCCAACAAAGCGCUCCCAAAUGAUUUAUGGCAGGAGUUACUUGCCGAGUGAUUACAACACGUGUGUCUGGAACAGAAAUGUUAAAAGGAAAUCAAUCUGCUUGUGGACAAAUAAUGAAAAGAGGAAAAGGAAAAAUUCCUCUAACAAAUAUGAAACUGCAAAUUAUUCACUCAGCUCAGUUGGCAACAACCAAUUUUUGUGGUAGUAGGAGCUUGUAGAGUAGGAGGUAACUGUGUGAAGAAUGAUUGAUUUGGUAUCUUAUAUUGCAAUUCUGGAAGGGGUUCAACAUCUAAUUUCAAAGCCAUUUUCCUCCUUUUACCCAGUAAAGAAAACAAAAUGAUAGUUGAUGUCUGUGAGCUGUUUUGGGCAGAUAGGAUCUAUUUUGUGUCCUCUGGACACUGACAAUGGCUGGCUCAUACGAAAGAACAGUUAUUUAUUAGAAAAGAUCUCUCUUGCCAGAAAAAAAAAAAACCAAAACCUGCCUGAGGAAGGACAUUACCAUCGUAAUGCUUUUUGCAUCUUUCCAGAAAAGACACAUGGGUCUGAACUCGGUGCAUCUUUGGGUUGUGGAGCCUUGUGUAAGCUGCACCUCCACCAGCUCAUCUUUCAGUUCACAGUAAUAAAACAAUCACUUAUUUAUUUCCCUCUUGGAAGAAUACAAAACACAUUUUGGACAUCUCUCACCUAAGACCACCUUUUGUCUCUCUUUCCCCACUCCUGGGAGGUAGGCAGCCACCCUGUGAGAGGCUCUGGAAUGCUGCAGGGGGAUGCCAGCAGUGAGUGUUGUCUCCUGCUCAAGACAGAGAGUGACUGUAGCAUGCUCUGUUUAUGCCUCUGGAGUGGUGGAUGUGAGUUCAGCAUUCAGAUCUCCUUAACUCCUUACAUGUGUAUUCUCAAUUCAAUAAUGCAAUUCCUAGUUUAAUUCCUGAGCAGGCACGUGCUGUCUUCCCAAGGCAUAAAGAUGUGAGGGAAUCCACUUCAUCCCUACUUCUUUACUUCACAAAAACCUUAAAAUGCUAAAGCCAUAAAUAGGCAUUACAGCACAAUCUUUGGGUGAAUGAUCUCCAACAUUACUGCAGAUCUUAGUCAUAGUGAAAGCUUUUACAAGCUACUUUGAGCUAAUGGCAGAAUAGUUUUCAUUUAAAGCAGUGAUGUGUUCCUUCCCACAAAUGCUAAUUGCCAUAAUUCUAUUGUAAGUUCUGGGCUUAGUUCUGGGCUGAGUUAGCUCCUUAUAACUUAACACUAAUCAUUGACCAGAGAUUAAUUUUACUAUUUCUGUGGUUUUGGAGAGAAAGUUACCAAGACUGAUACACUUCCAUGUCCACCAAAGGCAACAAUGGAAACAAGGUGUAUUUCUGCAAGAAUUUUCUAGGCAACCUCUUCAAAAACAGAAGGAUGUGCUGCAGAAGGUGAUGUUCAGGAGCCAUUUCACCAGCCCACAAGGAUAUGGGGUGAGGGUAUUUGCAUCCAUCUGAGCUGUGCCCAAACCAUCGUGAGUUCCUGACUCUUACACCUUUCCUCCUAUUCUGCAAAUCCACAUUAGAUUCAGACUACUUGAAAUGUCUGUGGAUGGCAAUGCCAGUCCACAGCUGGUGAAUGUCCUGCUCACCAUUGGGUGCCUUACAGAAUCACAGGAUCUGCUGAGUUGGAAGGAACCCACAAGGAUCAUCCAGUCCAACCCCUGGCCCUGCACAGGCCCAUCCCCAAGAGUCACCCCCUGUGCCCCAGAGGAUCAUCCAAACCCUCCUGGAGCUCUGGCAGCCUUGGGGCUGUGCCCACUGCCCUGGGGAGCCUGGGCAGUGCCCAACCAGCCUCUGGGGGAAGAACCUUUGGCUGAGAUCCAACCUGAGCCUGCCCUGACACAGCUCCAGCCAUUCCCUGGGUGCUGUCCCUGGUCCCCCCAGAGCAGAGCUCAGUCCCUGCCCCUCCUCUGUCCCUGCCCAGGCAGUUGGAACUGCACUGAGGUCUCCCCUCAGUCUCCUCUGCUCCAGCUGAACACACCAGGUGCCCUCAGCGUCCUCACAUGGCUUCAAAUCAAGGCCCUUUCUGCAGCACCCUCCUCCCUGGGACUGGAGCAGGGGCACACAGCAGCUCAUCACCUGCAAAGGACUUGUCAGAGGACAGCUGAUGUGUUGGUGGACCAAAUUCCACAAUUUCACUGCAGAAGAGCUUUCAUUCUGACUGUAACAUGAAUAUAGACAGAUUCCUCAGCCUGCUCCAGUCUACAAACUGCAGAUAAAUAUGUAGGUUGUUUGAUCCUGGUUACAAAACCCACCACUGCCCUUUGCCUUUACCCUUCCCCUUCCCUGCAAUUUGAGGAAGUUUGCUUAUAAAGGGCAAUAAAAUGUUCAGCUGCUGCAGGUCCCCCUAAGCCCACCAGCUUUUUUGCUUUUGUUUAAUUUGCUACAUGUGAUUAAUUCCAGUGAGUUUCUGCCAGGCAGAAUCUGCAACUAAAAAUACCCUGAGUACACGUAGUGUGCUGCAACACUGCCGGGAAGUAAACACAACCAUAGUCCUCAUAAUCACUGUUUUCCCAAAGAACUGCUGCUCCCAGCAGACAGCCUAUUUCAGGCUGUAAAUAGAAAUCAGAAAAUGAGAUUUUCUUUCCCUGGUAGUUCUUCUCCUGGGAAUUUUAGUGCUUUCCUCUGUGCACCUGCUUUGGGUGUUGGUGGCAGCCUAUUUGUAAUACCUGUCUCAGAGGAUUGGGCACUAGAGCCUGCUCUGAAACACUGAAACACCAGUGGACAAGGGACAUCAUUCCCACUAGUACCAACAUGUUUUUUGAUAUAAAAUCACGUGUAAGAUCAAAACCAGAUCAGGAUAGCCUGAUUUACUCCAUGAUUCCAGUGACAGUUCAUUCCAAAUUCAGAUUUGCAAAGUAAGUAAAGGUAUUUCCCAGCUCCUUGCACUUCCUGUUCCAAUAGUGGCAAUACAUUUGCCACUCUCAGUUUUGCAGACUGCCUGUUACCUGCUGUGGAUUAUCCAAGUCCAGUCACGAGCACAGACACUCCUGUCAAUACCAGGGAUGUCUGGCCUUGCCUCCAGUUCACAGCUCAGACACUGUUAUCUGAAUCCAUAUCAUGUGGAUCUAAUGCAAGAUCUUUGCACAGCCUUUAAAUCUGAGAAGUUCUAAUUAUCUACCAUCAAUUCUUCUAUCAUCAGUUUUAUCAUUCUUCGUGUAUUAUACUUUUUUUUUUUCUGGAAAAAGCUUUGCCUUAUUAGGAAUUCAAGAGAUUGUGUUUUGGUACAGCAACAUGCAGAUCUCAGGACUUGGGAACAAAUCUUUAAUGUCAGAUGCAUUUUUCUGUUACUUCUAAUGGUAUCAAGAAGGAUUUUUUGUGCUAGGAAAUACCUUCAUUAUUUCAUGACAUGGGUGAUAUUUAGGCCUGUAUCCCCUCAUUUGAUUGAAUGCUACUCACAGGCAUCCUUUGACCUGCUGAGUAGCCAGUAGUUUAUUUUAGUCAACUGUAGUAGUACUGAGAAGCACUCUCUUCCUGCCUAUAGAAAUAAAAAAAAUUAACCUUGGAAAA